Molecule: long non-coding RNA, 900 nt
Organism: Penaeus chinensis
Lineage: Eukaryota; Metazoa; Arthropoda; Malacostraca; Decapoda; Penaeidae
Exons: 2
Source: RefSeq, a predicted model, not a curated record
AAUCCACUCGGAAAUCCCUAAUACCAUAAACAUGUGAUUAAAAGUUUUCCAAAUAUGCUUUAAAACUCCACGAUAGAUUAGUUUAGAAUAGAGGGUCGCGUCACUCACAAAGGCUGCGUGAGUAUUAAGAUAUUUUUCAAUAUAUCUUUUAAUCCAUACACUUAUCAUGCGAUGCAAAUUCAUCAAUUUACCCUGGAAUUCCUAAACUAAUUGAAUAUUCGUAAAAUAACCCAAAAUAUAGUUCGAAAACCAUUUAAAUGAAGCUUAGCAUAAAGAAAGCGUCCUUCGGGAGGCCUGGGCGAGUGUCAAGCUAGAACGCGUUCUAUAACCAGUGAAUUCACAAUAUAAGACAACCAACCCCUUAUAUACACCAUGAAAGCCGUAAAAAGAUAUUUUAAUUAACAAACUAACCUAAAACACACAUAAAUAAAGCCUAGAACAGAAACGCGUCCCCUGGGAAGCCCGAAAUAAUGCCAAACCAUCAUAUAACGUAUCAUACAGCCCGCAAAACUCACAACACGAAUCUAAAUCAAACUCCCAAUAAAACUUAAAUCCCCUAACCAUCCACACCACACCCAAAACACCCCCAACACGCCCCUGGAGCCCCAAAAUGAGGGCAAAGAGUGCGAGGGUAACCCCGGGGCCGGCGCGGGCGUUCGAAGGCGCCGCGCCGACGUCCGAGCGGAGCUUGAGCAGGCCGCCGCCAGAAGGAUCAUAUUUAAAGGCGCCAUAUUGAUUUUUAUAAUGUUUGGAUAGGUGUGGUUGGGGAUGGAGGUUGCUCAGAGGAAAUCGGGGAAAAUGGAAUGACUCUUGAAGUCAAAGCACCCUAUUCAACCCUGCCAUAUGAUGCUUUGGCGUGAACCAUUCCGUGGAGAGGAAGCCAGUAUGACGUAAGACAUU